AGCAGUCGCCGCGGUAAUACGUAGGGUGCAAGCGUUAAUCGGAAUUACUGGGCGUAAAGCGUGCGCAGGCGGUUAUAUAAGACAGAUGUGAAAUCCCCGGGCUCAACCUGGGAACUGCAUUUGUGACUGUAUAGCUAGAGUACGGCAGAGGGGGAUGGAAUUCCGCGUGUAGCAGUGAAAUGCGUAGAUAUGCGGAGGAACACCGAUGGCGAAGGCAAUCCCCUGGGCCUGUACUGACGCUCAUGCACGAAAGCGUGGGGAGCAAACAGGAUUAGAUACCCCAGUAGUCCCUGUCUCUUAUAA
Molecule: ribosomal RNA, 303 nt
Filed under: uncultured bacterium
Lineage: Bacteria
Description: partial 16S ribosomal RNA
Rfam family: Bacterial small subunit ribosomal RNA
Source: RNAcentral